AUUGAACGCUGGCGGCAGGCCUAACACAUGCAAGUCGAGCGGAUGAAGGGAGCUUGCUCCUGGAUUCAGCGGCGGACGGGUGAGUAAUGCCUAGGAAUCUGCCUUGUAGUGGGGGAUAACGUCCGGAAACGGGCGCUAAUACCGCAUACGUCCUGAGGGUGAACGUGGGGGAUCUUCGGACCUCACGCUAUCAGAUGAGCCUAGGUCGGAUUAGCUAGUUGGUGGGGUAAAGGCCUACCAAGGCGACGAUCCGUAACUGGUCUGAGAGGAUGAUCAGUCACACUGGAACUGAGACACGGUCCAGACUCCUACGGGAGGCAGCAGUGGGGAAUAUUGGACAAUGGGCGAAAGCCUGACCCAGCCAUGCCGCGUGUGUGAAGAAGGUCUUCGGAUUGUAAAGCACUUUAAGUUGGGAGGAAGGGCAGUAAGUUAAUACCUUGCUGUUUUGACGUUACCAACAGAAUAAGCACCGGCUAACUUCGUG
Molecule: ribosomal RNA, 484 nt
Filed under: uncultured bacterium
Lineage: Bacteria
Description: partial 16S ribosomal RNA
Rfam family: Bacterial small subunit ribosomal RNA
Source: RNAcentral